GACGAACGCUGGCGGCGCGCUUAACACAUGCAAGUCGAACGGAAAGGCCUGCUUUCCCUUGUGGAUUGCGGGUACUCGAGUGGCGAGCGGGUGAGUAACACGUGAGUGAUCUGCCCCCAACUUGGGUAUAAGCCUGGGAAACUGGGUCUAAUUCCCGAUAGGACUGCAGGGUGGUGCCUGUGGUGGAAAACGAUUUUCUAGUGGUUGGGGAUGAGCUCGCGGCCUAUCAGCUUGUUGGUGGGGUAAUGGCCUACCAAGGCGGCGACGGGUAGCCGGCCUGAGAGGGUGGACGGCCACAUUGGGACUGAGAUACGGCCCAGACUCCUACGGGAGGCAGCAGUGGGGAAGAUUGCACAAUGGGCGGAAGCCUGAUGCAGCGACGCCGCGUGGGGGAUGACGGCCUUCGGGUUGUAAACUCCUUUCGACCGCGAGGAAGCCACCUGGUUGGAAGGGUGGUGACGGUAGUGGUAGAAGAAGCACCGGCUAACUACGUG
Molecule: ribosomal RNA, 494 nt
Filed under: uncultured bacterium
Lineage: Bacteria
Description: partial 16S ribosomal RNA
Rfam family: Bacterial small subunit ribosomal RNA
Source: RNAcentral